This is a non-coding RNA of Dipodomys ordii (Ord's kangaroo rat), 72 nucleotides long. The record is from Rfam. NCBI's taxonomy places the organism in Eukaryota, Metazoa, Chordata, Mammalia, Rodentia, Heteromyidae.
GGGAAGGUGGCUCAGUGGUAGAGCGCUUGCCUUGCACGCUCGAGGCCCUGGGUUCGAUUCCUCAGCACCCCA